UAGGAUGUCCUGAUCCAACAUCGAGGUCGUAAACCCCCUCGUCGAUAGGGACUCUGGGAGAGGAUUGCGCUGUUAUCCCUAGGGUAACUCGGUCCGUUGAUCGGCGUUCGCCGGAUCAUUUUUGGUCAGAAAUUCUGGUACUUAGAGUUGUGGCUCUUGGUUGUGGGGGCAGUGCCCCCAGUCCACAUGGGGGCUUUGUUUUCCCCCGCGGUCGCCCCAACCAAAGACAUAGGGGCUAGGGGUCACUGUGUUUUUACCUGUUAAUUUAAGGUUACUUGACGUGAUCUGCCUGGUGUCUAAAGCUCCAUAGGGUCUUCUCGACUUAUGUGUUUAUGUCCGCUUCUGCACGGG
Molecule: ribosomal RNA, 351 nt
Filed under: Salmo trutta fario
Lineage: Eukaryota; Metazoa; Chordata; Actinopteri; Salmoniformes; Salmonidae
Description: partial 16S ribosomal RNA
Source: RNAcentral